UACGGAGGGUGCGAGCGUUGUUCGGAAUUACUGGGCGUAAAGGGGGCGUAGGCGGUUUGUUAAGUCAAAUGUGAAAGACCACGGCUUAACUGUGGUAGUGCAUUUGAGACUGGCAGGCUAGAGUUUCGGAAGGGAAAGUGGAAUUCCUGGUGUAGGAGUGAAAUCCGUAGAUAUCAGGAGGAAUACCGGUGGCGAAGGCGUCUUUCUGGACGAAUCCUGACGCUGAGGCCCGCAAGCGUGGGGAGCAAACAGG
Molecule: ribosomal RNA, 253 nt
Filed under: uncultured bacterium
Lineage: Bacteria
Description: partial 16S ribosomal RNA
Rfam family: Bacterial small subunit ribosomal RNA
Source: RNAcentral